This 500-nucleotide ribosomal RNA is filed under the name uncultured eukaryote. RNAcentral describes it as "bacterial SSU rRNA". It matches the Rfam family "Eukaryotic small subunit ribosomal RNA", at positions 69 to 577 of the family's 1831-position model. The record is from RNAcentral.
GUAUUGUACAGACGAAACUGCGAAUGGCUCAUUACAUCAGUUAUAGUUUAUUUGAUAUUUGAAGUUACAUGGAUACCGUGGCAAUUCUACAGCUAAUACAUGCUUCAAAACCUGACUUCGGAAGGGUUGUAUUUAUUAGAUAUUAAACCAUCCCCUCGGGGGCUGUGAUGAAUCAUAAUAACUGAUCGAAUCGAGGUUCGCCUUGAUAAAUCAUUCAAGUUUCUGCCCUAUCAGCUGUAGAUGGUAGUGUAUUGGACUACCAUGGCUAUUACGGGUAACGGAGAAUUAGGGUUCGAUUCCGGAGAGGGAGCAUGAGAAAUGGCUACUAUUUCUAAGGAAAAGCAGCAGGCGCGUAAAAUUAUUCAAUGGGAAUAUCUUCCCGAAAUAGUGACAAAAAAAUACCGAUGUAUUAAACUUCGUUUAGUACAAUUGGAAUGGAAACAAUCCAAAAACCCUUAUUGAGUAAACAAUUAGAGGGCAAGUCUGGUGCCAGCAGCCGC